Molecule: ribosomal RNA, 548 nt
Filed under: uncultured Glomeromycotina
Lineage: Eukaryota; Fungi; Glomeromycota
Description: SSU rRNA
Rfam family: Eukaryotic small subunit ribosomal RNA
Source: RNAcentral
UUGGAGGGCAAGUCUGGUGCCAGCAGCCGCGGUAAUUCCAGCUCCAAUAGCGUAUAUUAAAGUUGUUGCAGUUAAAAAGCUCGUAGUUGAAUUUCGGGGUCAGUAGGUUGGUCGUGCCACUGGCAUGCACUGGUCUCACUGAUUCCUCCUUCCUGAUGAACCGUAAUGCCAUUAAUUUGGUGUUGCGGGGAAUCUGGACUGUUACUUUGAAAAAAUUAGAGUGUUUAAAGCAGGCUAACGCUUGAAUACAUUAGCAUGGAAUAAUGAAAUAGGACGAUCGAUCCUAUUUUGUUGGUUUCUAGGAUUGACGUAAUGAUUAAUAGGGAUAGUUGGGGGCAUUAGUAUUCAAUUGUCAGAGGUGAAAUUCUUGGAUUUAUUGAAGACUAACUACUGCGAAAGCAUUUGCCAAGGAUGUUUUCAUUAAUCAAGAACGAAAGUUAGGGGAUCGAAGACGAUCAGAUACCGUCGUAGUCUUAACCAUAAACUAUGCCGACUAGGGAUCGGAUGAUGUUAAUUUUUUAAUGACUCAUUCGGCGCCUUACGGGAAA